Molecule: non-coding RNA, 72 nt
Organism: Dipodomys ordii (Ord's kangaroo rat)
Lineage: Eukaryota; Metazoa; Chordata; Mammalia; Rodentia; Heteromyidae
Source: Rfam
GGGAAGGUGGCUCAGUGGUAGAGUGCUUGCCUUGCAUGCAUGAGGCCCUAGGUUGGAUUCCUCAGCAUCACA